Molecule: ribosomal RNA, 857 nt
Filed under: uncultured bacterium
Lineage: Bacteria
Description: bacterial SSU rRNA
Rfam family: Bacterial small subunit ribosomal RNA
Source: RNAcentral
GUUUGAUCCUGGCUCAGAACGAACGCUGGCGGCAUGCCUAACACAUGCAGUCGAACGAAGCCUUCGGGCUUAGUGGCGCACGGGUGCGUAACGCGUGGGAAUCUGCCUCUUGCUUCGGAAUAACAGUUAGAAAUGACUGCUAAUACCGGAUGAUGUCUUCGGACCAAAGAUUUAUCGGCAAGAGAUGAGCCCGCGUAGGAUUAGGUAGUUGGUGGGGUAAAGGCCUACCAAGCCGACGAUCCUUAGCUGGUCUGAGAGGAUGAUCAGCCACACUGGGACUGAGACACGGCCCAGACUCCUACGGGAGGCAGCAGUGGGGAAUAUUGGACAAUGGACGAAAGUCUGAUCCAGCAAUGCCGCGUGAGUGAUGAAGGCCUUAGGGUUGUAAAGCUCUUUUACCAGGGAUGAUAAUGACAGUACCUGGAGAAUAAGCUCCGGCUAACUCCGUGCCAGCAGCCGCGGUAAUACGGAGGGAGCUAGCGUUGUUCGGAAUUACUGGGCGUAAAGCGCACGUAGGCGGUUAUUCAAGUCAGAGGUGAAAGCCCGGAGCUCAACUUCGGAACUGCCUUUGAAACUAGGUAACUAGAAUCCUGGAGAGGUGAGUGGAAUUCCGAGUGUAGAGGUGAAAUUCGUAGAUAUUCGGAAGAACACCAGUGGCGAAGGCGGCUCACUGGACAAGUAUUGACGCUGAGGUGCGAAAGCGUGGGGAGCGAACAGGAUUAGAUACCCUGGUAGUCCACGCCGUAAACGAUGAUAACUAGCUGUCCGGGCACAUGGUGCUUGGGUGGCGCAGCUAACGCAUUAAGUUAUCCGCCUGGGGAGUACGGUCGCAAGAUUAAAACUCAAAGGAAUUGACG